RNAcentral lists this ribosomal RNA (580 nucleotides) under uncultured Brachybacterium sp. RNAcentral's name for it is "bacterial SSU rRNA". It matches the Rfam family "Bacterial small subunit ribosomal RNA", at positions 322 to 916 of the family's 1533-position model. The record is from RNAcentral. Lineage: Bacteria; Bacillati; Actinomycetota; Actinomycetes; Micrococcales; Dermabacteraceae.
CCNGCNGUCGACGAUUCCUACGGGAGGCAGCAGUGGGGAAUAUUGCACAAUGGGCGCAAGCCUGAUGCAGCAACGCCGCGUGCGGGAUGAAGGCCCUAGGGUUGUAAACCGCUUUCAGCAGGGAAGAAAAUGACGGUACCUGCAGAAGAAGGUGCGGCCAACUACGUGCCAGCAGCCGCGGUGACACGUAGGCACCAAGCGUUGUCCGGAUUUAUUGGGCGUAAAGAGCUCGUAGGCGGUUCAGUUAGUCGGGUGUGAAAACUCUGGGCUCAACCCAGAGACGCCACCCGAUACUGCUGUGACUAGAGUACGGUAGGGGAGUGGGGAAUUCCUGGUGUAGCGGUGAAAUGCGCAGAUAUCAGGAGGAACACCAGUGGCGAAGGCGCCACUCUGGGCCGUAACUGACGCUGAGGAGCGAAAGCAUGGGUAGCAAACAGGAUUAGAUACCCUGGUAGUCCAUGCCGUAAACGUUGGGCACUAGGUGUGGGUCUCAACCAACGAGAUCCGCGCCGUCGCUAACGCAUUAAGUGCCCCGCCUGGGGAGUACGGUCGCAAGACUAAAACUCAAAGGAAUUGACGG